GCCCAGGUAGCUCAGUCGGAUAGAGCACGUCCUUGGUAAGGACGAGGUCGGCGGUUCGAUUCCGCUCCUGGGCU
This is a non-coding RNA of Acidobacteria bacterium RBG_16_68_9, 74 nucleotides long. NCBI's taxonomy places the organism in Bacteria, Pseudomonadati, Acidobacteriota. The record is from Rfam.